Molecule: transfer RNA, 73 nt
Filed under: Candidatus Melainabacteria bacterium GWF2_37_15
Lineage: Bacteria; Bacillati; Candidatus Melainabacteria
Description: tRNA-Ala
Rfam family: tRNA
About the family: Transfer RNA (tRNA) molecules are approximately 80 nucleotides in length. Their secondary structure includes four short double-helical elements and three loops (D, anti-codon, and T loops).
Source: RNAcentral
GGGGGUGUAGCUCAGUUGGUAGAGCGCUUGCCUUGCACGCAUGAAGUCAGGAGUUCGAGUCUCCUCACCUCCA